AUUGAACGCUGGCGGCACGCCUAACACAUGCAAGUCGAGCGGUAGCAUGUUUUGUAGCAAUACAAAAUGAUGACGAGCGGCGGACGGGUGAGGAACACGUAGGAACCUGCCCUUUAGCGGGGGACAACCAAGGGAAACUUUGGCUAAUACCGCGUAAUCUCGAGAGAGGAAAGCUGCCCGCAAGGGUGGCGCUAAAGGAGGGGCCUGCGUCCGAUUAGCUAGUUGGUGAGGUAAAGGCUCACCAAGGCGAUAAUCGGUAACUGGUCUGAGAGGACGAGCAGUCACACUGGGACUGAGACACGGCCCAGACUCCUACGGGAGGGAGCAGUGGGGAAUAUUGGACAAUGGGGGCAACCCUGAUCCAGCGAUGCUGCGUGGGUGAAGAAGGGCUUCGGGUUGUAAAGCCCUUUAGGUCGGGAAGAAGGACGAUUAGUUAAUAGCUAGUUGUUUUGACGGUACCGACAGAAUAAGCACCGGCAAACUCUGUGCCAGCCGCCGCCGUAA
This 504-nucleotide ribosomal RNA is filed under the name uncultured bacterium. RNAcentral describes it as "partial 16S ribosomal RNA". It matches the Rfam family "Bacterial small subunit ribosomal RNA", at positions 29 to 523 of the family's 1533-position model. The record is from RNAcentral.